GUCUUACCAGCUUCGCCAGUGUCCCCCCACCACCCACAGACGCCUAGGCCCGGCCCCCAGAGCCCGGGGUGUGUGCACUCACCUGACAAUGCUGCAAUCUGUGGGUAACCAGAAGAGUGGCUCAGGGAAAGACCCCUGCUGUGAUGCAGUCAGCUGCAAAGCACAGUCCUGAAGCUUCUUCAUCUACUUCCCGACAGACUUCUCUGAGUGCAUCAGAGAACUGUGUACUAGAAAUGAAAUAGGUGGGGAGCUGUUACCAUAUGAAGACUGAGACUGCAUCGAGGUCCUAGGAACACAAACAUGGGAAUGAUGGUCAACGUGGGACACCGAAAGGCAGGACCAGUCAUUUCCAACAGGUCUGGGAUUAAAACCUGGCCUUGAACUAUGUAUGUACCAGAUACUCCUCAUGGUUAAUGACCUAGAGUCCUAACCAGGGAGGGACUGCAAAGCCGUCACAAAAAUCAUUGUUUUCUGGACAGUACAUAUAGAGUGUUUAACAUCUCAUUUGUGAGAGGAAAUAUAUACACACUUCUUUUCUUCUAUUGCUUCCUCCAUUUUCUUUCUUUCUCUUGUUUUUCAACUUAAAUAAGUCUUAAUAACCAGGAAAGAGAGGAAAGAACUGAGCGAGGCACACAGGCUGAUAAAGACCAGAAAAACACUAAACUCAGUUUGCAAACGAAGCCUUCCAUUUACAACCUUCCAAGCCAUUUGGGAUGCACAGAAAAUACCCGAAAGAGUCAAUCAUUGGAGGCAUUUGACAGCACACCCUAAUGUCCCACAAAUACCCCCAAGAUAUAAAUACACUUCCUCAGCUAAGAUGAGCUGUGAGAACACCCAGUGCAUGCCAAGAGCAGUUCUAUGUGGGAGAACCUUAGAAUCCAAGCCACUGUGGUGUUGAUUUUCUAUAAGUCUUG
Molecule: long non-coding RNA, 914 nt
Organism: Peromyscus eremicus (cactus mouse)
Lineage: Eukaryota; Metazoa; Chordata; Mammalia; Rodentia; Cricetidae
Exons: 3
Source: RefSeq, a predicted model, not a curated record